AGUGAACGCUGGCGGUAGGCCUAACACAUGCAAGUCGAACGGCAGCACAGUAAGAGCUUGCUCUUACGGGUGGCGAGUGGCGGACGGGUGAGGAAUACAUCGGAAUCUACUUUUUCGUGGGGGAUAACGUAGGGAAACUUACGCUAAUACCGCAUACGACCUACGGGUGAAAGCAGGGGAUCUUCGGACCUUGCGCGAUUGAAUGAGCCGAUGUCGGAUUAGCUAGUUGGCGGGGUAAAGGCCCACUAAGGCGACGAUCCGUAGCUGGUCUGAGAGGAUGAUCAGCCACACUGGAACUGAGACACGGUCCAGACUCCUACGGGAGGCAGCAGUGGGGAAUAUUGGACAAUGGGCGCAAGCCUGAUCCAGCCAUACCGCGUGGGUGAACAAGGCCUUCGGGUUGUAAAGCCCUUUUGUUGGGAAAGAAAAGCAGCAGGUUAAUACCCCGCUGUUCUGACGGUACCCAAAGAAUAAGCACCGGCUAACUUCGUG
RNAcentral lists this ribosomal RNA (492 nucleotides) under uncultured bacterium. RNAcentral's name for it is "partial 16S ribosomal RNA". It matches the Rfam family "Bacterial small subunit ribosomal RNA", at positions 29 to 507 of the family's 1533-position model. The record is from RNAcentral.